This is a non-coding RNA of Zootermopsis nevadensis, 7847 nucleotides long. The record is from RefSeq and is a predicted model, not a curated record. NCBI's taxonomy places the organism in Eukaryota, Metazoa, Arthropoda, Insecta, Blattodea, Termopsidae.
CGCACAAUUUUCAGGUCUUCAUAGCUUGGCCUUCACAAAUUAUUUGUUCCACUCACUUCUCAUUUUUCACCAUCACUGCAGUGUGAGAGCAGCCUGUCCAAACCAGUACCACCAUCUCUGCUAUGCCUAACCCACCACCACACUGCUCAUAUUGACUGCCAUGUCCUCAUAAACGUUCUUCAAAUGUUGAGAAUGUCAUUGUUUGCAAUGUUCUCUACAUUAAGGAACAAAAUAACAUACCACUCUUUCAUACAUCAGUGUCACCCUCAUUUUUACAGACUUAUAUGGCCCUAUCACCUGACAUGUGUUGAAACUUGCAGGAUAUUAGCAGCAGCCUUUAAAUUUUCACCUGAUAUUGCAUUUUAUAUGCACCAUCACAAGUGGGAAAACUAUUUGGAGGCAUUAGUUUUGGAGCAACCCUUGUAUUUAAAAAACUUAAGACUCUUUGUUUCACAGUUAGUAGUACAUGAUGUAAGAAACAUCUUGUUAAAUUACAUCAUUGAUAAAGAGUAAAGUAUUUUGAUAUGAUGUGUAAAAAUGGAAGUAAAGCAGGAAGUCAUGUAGGAUUUUAGGUUUUGACAGGAAUGUAGUAUAAAUAGUGGUCUUCUGUUCAUUGAUAUGUGAUGCAUUGGCCCAGAAUACCACCAUCUGUAUAUAGAAAGUGACAUUUAAUAAUAUUAGAGCCUGUUUUCUGAUAAAACCUUUGCUUCCAGAAUCAGCAGAUUGGCAAUGGCAGUCUCACUUUGUUCAUAUCAGGCAGAACUGCUGCUUGGGAGAUGUACACAGAAAUAUAGGGAGAACAUUUCAAGGUGGUGGAUCAGUCACUCCCAAGAAUGCUAAAAUAGGCUGAAAUCUAUGGUGUUAAAUAUUGUAAACCACAAUACAGUUGUUAAUAUAUCUGGACUUGUGUGUUUUGGACAAGAUACUGCAGUUUUUUUGACUAACAACAGUUUUGAAAUGUAAUGUUAUUGAUAAGAAACCUUCAUUUUAACAUUGUGAGUUGUGCUUUUGUGUUCUGUAUCCUGACCUAGGUAUCCUUGUUUCAAGUCUCACCUAGAGGAUAACAGGAUUUAUAUGUAUACUUUGUACAUAAUUUUAUCUUUGAUCCUGUCAUUGCACUACGACAGUGGUUUUCAAGCUUAUGCAUUUCAGUAUCAUGGUUGUAUGUUGAAAUGUGUUAUUUAUUAUAUGCAUGGUAAUGCAGAUUCCCAUCAUGUGGAUUCUUGUUUCAUCAUUGAUAAAGUAAGUGGAAUUCAUUUCUUUUUUGUCAUUACCAACUUUUGAACCUGAAAUUGUUGUGCUUUGUCAGUUUCUCCACAACAGUCAGAGAUUCUUUAUCCCCCUCCCCCCAAAUCCCAAAUCUCUCAGCCCCUCUCACCAUAUCCUUUAUUGUUCUGUUUUAAAAUGUCAACAUAAUACAAACAAAUUUCCUACCAAAAAUACCAGUGUCAGUGCUGUGUUGGGAGCUAUACUGCAUUCCUAUCUGUUUGGCAGUCAGCUAAAUAAUUUCCUUCAGGAUCUUUUUUGAGCUAACUAGUUGCAUGGCCCUUGCAUCACGUUCUCCCUGUGAUGGGUCUUGCAGCACACAGCUUGAACACCACUGCUCUGACAUUACGAAUGGCACAUUUAUAUCACAGUUCCAGGAGCUGUUAGCUACGUUCAUUUGUCUCAGAGUUUACUUAAUACAAAUAUUUUUAUAUGGGAUAUUUAAAAACUACUUUAAAUGGUAUGAUGAGGGAACAAAAUUAAUUAAUACUUAAAUUUGCUUUCUGCAUCUCAUAACAUGAAAAAUAGUUCAUUGUGUUUUUAGUACAGGUAAACCAGGGUUAAAAAUGCACUUGUCACUGGUCUCUGUAAACUUGCCUGUGGGGAGUAGCAAGCAUAUUUCUAGAUCCCUGUUGAGGCAAGUCACUGUUGGCGGCUCAUAGCAUCUUACACAUGUCACAAAGAUCAUUCACACAGUGGUGGAUAAAAACAACCUGGAAGUUGUAUUUCACAGUCUUAUAUUUUCAUCAUUACUGAAUCCUGUGUAUAACUUACAUGAAUAGAAAAGCAACUUCUAAGUACUUAUCUCCAUCAAAUUUUGGCAGGCAUAGCAUAAGCUCCAGUUGAUAAUGGUGUUAUUAACAGCUAAGCAAGUGACACUGUUAAAUGGUUAGCAUCCAUAUUUAGGAGGACUGAGGUUUGAUUACUGGCCCAGAAGUAGGUUAUCCUUACUAAAGUCUUUUGCAAAUGGCAGAUUAUCAUCUUGAAAUAAGCAGUGCCCGUUUCUUACUCUGUUCUCCAUGAUUCAUAAUUAACCUGUUAAUUAAUAUGUUAUUUGACCAUUGCAGUUGAUAAAGCAGCAUUUAGUAAAUAAAAGAUUUGUGUCAACAGCAGCAGUUAUUUUGCUUAAAAUAAGAAGUUAGUAUGUUUUAGAAUUUUGAAUUUAGUAAGAACAGAGCAGUGAUAAGUGCUAUUCCCACAUUCAUCUUGGAGAAUUAGGUACAUCCAAUGUCGGCUGAUAUCUAUAUCAUAUGUCUUUAAUAUAGUUGAACAUUUUACUUUAGUAUAAUAUAUUUAUUAUAUUUGUAAUAGGUAGUGAUACACAAGAAUCUAAUCUUUGUUGUAUGUGUGAAGAACAACAUCCAGGAAUACAGACUUUUGUAGGUACGUGGUAAAGCAAGAUGUGUGAGAAAAUUAAGAUUUGUCAUUAUUGGUGUCUGGAUUAAAAUUUGUGGAUUUUUUAAUUAUAAAGCUGAAAUAUGAAAAUAGAAGAAUGAUGGUUGCUUUGUAAGACAAGAAAAUGCUGAUACUAGGUCAUGUGUUGUGAAAUUUAGAAUCGCAGGCAAGAACUUAGGACAACCGCUUUUCUCUAAACACUUCCAAGUGUAGACAGAGGUGACCACAAAUUUUAAGUUAAUAAUAAAACACUUUCUAUUUAUCUCUGUGCAUAAUUUACACUAGCCGAGACUACUUGUAAUAAUCCUUUCUAAAUUUUGCAUCUUUAAUGUAUCUUAUAGUUAGAGCACAGUUGCGAUGUUCUGUUAUAUUCUGCAAGAAUAUUGUCCUAAGGAAAGGUUCAGAUCUUUUGAAAGUCUAUUACCACAUGUGUCAAGACUAAGAAUAGUGUGCCUACUCAAGAGUUCAAUGGCCUUGAGUGCAUUAUGCUCGUACUAUGUUUGCUUGUUAGAACUUAAGAAGUGGUGAGCAGGUGAUUCAAGGUACACAGUGUCAUUAAUGUAGGCAUCGUUUUAACCUAAAAUUUGUAUUGUCUCAUUUGAAAAUGACUUUCAUGAGGUUGUGCUUUUUAACCAGUUACUUAUUAAUGAAUUCAUUGAGUAAUCAAAAUGAUUACUAGUGGUGGUCUCACACAAAAAGGGCCAUGUGUUCUGCUAUUCACUAAACACCACUGCUCUGUGUGGGAGUUAAAAUUUCAAAAUGAUCAAGUAUAUUACGUAUUAUAAGUUCGUGUACUUGUGAUUCAUUGCUCAAUAUUUAAUUUAUAUGAGAUUUGAGGUUCUCUCAGUAUUGAUGUCAAUGUUCUGAGCUGUGGACUCAUAGGUAGGUACCAAUAUUUCAGAGAAACAGACUGUUCUGUCUUUAGGGCUGAUGGAAACAGUAUACAUGAAUCCACUCGGUAUCACAACCCAGAAGAGUAUCAUCAACAGUUGCAUUUUAUAGUUUUAAAAUCCCAGUGUUUUUGAUGUAUUACCAUAUCUUUGUAGUAAAUGCUUUGUCCUAGUGGAAUCACAGUGUCAUGAAACAUUCAGAGCAUCUGCAUCGAAUGUGCUAGUCGACCUUGGAUCAUUGCUGAGUUUUGUAAUUGCAUGUUCAGUAUUCCUGCGGUAGACACCGUUGAAUUUGUAACAAUUUAAUAUUGCUUAUUAUAUUGUAACUUCUAAGAAGAUUAUGACUGUUGUCAAAAUGAAUUUUGCUUUGAUCAAAACUGUACCACUUAUAUAUGAUUUGUAAGUUCUUAUUGUGUGAAAAUGCUAUUACUCUCCUAUUUUUAUUCUAUUCAGUAUGUACUAUUGCACUGCCCUCAUAUUGCAGUAAUGUGAAUUGUACCAGUCUUCAGAUUGUUUCAUUUGGUAAUGAUGUACAUUUUAAAAGAAUAUCAAAAGGGCCUAUUUGAAUUGUACUGAACCCUUUAUUCAGUCAUAUUCCAAAGGAAUAUGAACAUCUAGUUGUUCCUUGGAAGAUAGCAACAAAGCAUUGAGAAGACAGAUGUGCUACUUGUGUUUUCAGAUUCUGUUACUGCCUCGUGCCUUCUCAAUUGUACAGUCUGGAUUUUAACACCACUUAGCUUUUCAAAUCAAAAUAUUUAUCAUAAAUGGUUCUUGUGCAUUCUGUAUAACAGUAAACAGUCUGUGGCAUGGUGCUGAAGGAGACAGUGUAUAUUGUUCUGACACUUGAACUUUUAGAUGGCCGUCUUAUUCUUCUGCAUUUGCUGUAGUUACCCAAGUGUAAUGUCUACUCUGUACCCAUUUUGAAAUGUUAAAGGUUUCUAGUUACAGGAAACACUAACUGGGAAUGUAUUAAAUAUUACUUAAGGUGUUCCAUUGAAUUUAAUUUGUAUGUCAGUUUUACAGAUUUUACAGAAAAGUUCAUAGACAGAAAUUUAUUUCAUUAUCUGAUGCAUACAUAUUGUGAAUUCAUAUUAGGGUGGGAUAUGUCUUGUCUGUACAUAAUUUCGUAGUAAUUUUUAUGAAUAAAUUGUAUAUGUUGAUUAUAUGCUUCCUGUUUGGUUCAUCUAGUACUGAGAGACUGAAAUGCAAACAUUGAUGUUAAAAUUGUAUCAUUUUAGUGUGACUGUUUAUGAGCACAAGGUCUGUUGCCAUGUUUGUGAAGUUCAUACCAGAGAUGCAAAUAUCGCAUGUGUGGCCGGUACCUCCACCUGUCUUCCCUUAAAACUAUUUCAGUACUGAAUGCGGAUUAAUUUUAUUACUGAGUGGUUUUGAACUAAUUACUGUUUCCUAAACUUCCAUUUUGGACAAAAAAUAUUUGUAUGUUUGUGCAAUUUUCAAUGGGCCCUAUUUUCACAUAUGAAUUCAUGUAGUUUCCUUUGUAGAUUGUAUGGUGUGAUUGUUGAUAGGCAUGUUUGUAUGACAAAUUUUCUCACUUAUGAAAGAAAAAAAAUAAUUUUGUAUCCUGUACAUAAAUUUUAUUGGUGCUUAUAACCAUUGUACAGUUCUUUGAGUCAGCACUGUUUGAGACAUGACAAAAGAAAUAAGUAUUAUGUUUUGUCUUCAGAAUCUUACUUAAUUAUACAUUAAUAUUGUGUUUUCUGUCAAUAAAUUGUGUGCUGUUUGUGCUAAUCAAGUAAUUUUCACAGUGGACUGAAUUGAUGAGUCAAUGGCAGGGCUGUACUGUUGUCUCCUUACACUUAAACGUCUUCCUGAGAUUCUAUUGGUAAUAAGAAAAUACCCAAAGUCAGGACUGCUUUUAGGAACCAUUGACAGGGCAACAAAGUAUAGAAUGACAUAGUAAUGUCACUGGAAAGCACAAUGUUAUUAUUCUUUAACACAUUCAGUGCCACUGUUCAGACAUCUCACCCAUUUCAAGUUAAUGUGGCAGUUCAUUCGUUUAAAAAUAUUUGUUUCCUAUUUUUUUAUUAUUACUAUGAUUAUUAUUUGACAUAUUUAGAAUCCAUACAAUACUUUUUUUUCCCCUUUCAAUGCAUUUGUAAUAUUAGAAAUAAAUUCCAUAACUGGUUGAGCAACUGUUGGUUUCUCAAGAAUGACACUGUUCCAAGAAAGUGGUUAAAUUAAAAGUAGCUUUGAAUUUAUGUAAUUCUAUGUUUUUUCUUUAAGUCAUUGGUCAAGAAGCACAUUGUUUAGUUUCUGUAUUUUCUUUAUAAAUUAAUGAGCCUCUUCUCUUGUCAAAUUACAGAGAUUUCAUCACUUUGUUGGCUGUGAGAUUUGGGUUUGACAUCAAAUUAAAUUAAGAUAGAUGAAAGUCACUCUCACUGGAUAAUAUGAAAAGAAACCAACUGAAUCCAACCAUAUGUCCAGAAAUAAAGAAGUCAAUGCACUUCCAGCUAUUAUGACAAGAAAUAAGGGUACUGUAUCAUAGAUAUUGUUGGGAAUAUGGGCUGAAGGAUAUCCCAUCAUCAUUUUGACGUUUUUCAUAUCUGUUGUACAGUACAUCACUUAGCUCCAUCCCAGGAAGACGUGAUGGGAGGACGAGACCUGAUGGAGAACCACACCUCAAACGUGUUUCAUUGAUGGCACAAAUGGGAGUAUUCUUGAAAAGUAUUGAAGAGAAUGCAACAUGAAAAAUAUUCAGUACUGUUUUCAUGGGGCAGGAACACAGUCUAUAACAGAGCACUCACUGUCCGUGUACUUGCGUAAUAUUAUGGUCAACUAAUCAAGAAAUUCCCCUCAUUUUAUGGAACCUGUAGGUUCAAUAUCAUGUUCAUAACAGCCAUCCUUGACUUCCUAUCCUGAACCAGAUGAAUCCAAUCAACUGUCUCCCAAUUUAUUUUCCUAAGAUCUAUUUUAAUAUUCUCCCAUGUACUCUCACAUUUUCCAAGUAGUUUCUUCCCUUCAGGCUUUCCAACCAAAAUAUUGUACACAAUUCUCAUUUUCCAUGCAUGCUGCACACCCUGCCAAGCUCAUCCUAUACUUUCUGAAAUUUCCCAUGAAUGUAUUUAUGUUUGUUUGCCUGGAGCAUAAUGUGAAUAUAUAAAUUCUGUGAGGUUUCAGGUUCUCAUGACAGUGAAGUUGUUGAUGUUUUUCUUGCGGGUUACAAUGCUGCGUGAAUUUGUAGAUAAAUACAAACAUUGCAGAGAAAUAUACCGUCUCCAUCUUCAGGACUUAAGUCCUCAAUGUGUCAUAACCCAGAACAACAUCAACAUCUAAAUUUUGCAUGUCUUAGAAAACUGGACACACCAAGUUUUAUGUCAAACUAAAGUGAUGCUAUAUAAUCUGAGCUACUGACAGCAUCAUUUAAUAAAUCACAAACAGAUAAAGACGGUGUAGGAAUUAAUUGUUCACAUCUGGUAGGGCGUUGCACAGCAAUAUGAGAACGCCCGCUUGUUGACUGUUUCAUGCAUGCGAUAAAUGGCUCUUGAAUGAAUUUCGAUGACAUUCUGUAGUAUGUAUGCUUACGAAAUUACGUAUUUUUGCCUGUGACGUACUUCCAGUCAGUUGGUCAGUAAUGUAACUACAUUGUUGUUAGGAUGCAAGUGAAGACCAUCUCGUUAUUGAUCAACAUCGAUACAUCAUUCCUGCCCAGAAGUUACUCAGAACAGUCAGAAACCGACUUCUUCCUGAUGAACUGAAAAACCUGUUUAACAGAAACAUGUUCACUCAGAGCAUGCUUGAUGACUCACUGGAGGAGGAGUCUCACAUUUGGCAACCUGGAACUUUCAGUGGUUCACUACCUUCUGUGAGUGCAGAAGGGACUCCUCUGUCGUACCCAGACAUCAGCGCAAGAUGCUAUAUUUUAACAGUACAUAUGCACUGCCUUUUCUGCCAGCUCUAUGUAAAUCACCUUGUAUUUCAUCUGUACGUAUGCUUAAGGAUAACAAUGAUCAUUGCUGAAGCUGGGGACAGAAAGAUUAUUUCCAAUUAUAGAAAUAUCUGUGAAGUUUUGUUAGACACAGUAUUCAGUACCAUAUUUCACAGUCUGUGUGAAAUACAAUCAUAUUAGUUUAAAUAAGUAACAAGAGUGUAGUAAGACAAUUUUUUAGAAGAUGUACAGAAUGUGAUCCAUCAGUAGUUAUCUGUAUUGAUAUAUUAAAAUAAAUAAGUAAGUUCAUAAUCAUCAUACUACUUAAGACUGACACAUAAACUAUAUUGACAGUAGUGUAGAAAGAAUACAUACCAGAGUUCACAUCUGAAGAUUAAGAAAGGUUGAGA